Molecule: transfer RNA, 76 nt
Filed under: Onishia taeanensis
Lineage: Bacteria; Pseudomonadati; Pseudomonadota; Gammaproteobacteria; Oceanospirillales; Halomonadaceae
Also listed under: 3 other names
Description: Halomonas taeanensis tRNA_Thr_CGT
Rfam family: tRNA
About the family: Transfer RNA (tRNA) molecules are approximately 80 nucleotides in length. Their secondary structure includes four short double-helical elements and three loops (D, anti-codon, and T loops).
Source: RNAcentral
GCCGGUGUAGCUCAGUUGGCAGAGCAGCGCAUUCGUAAUGCGCAGGUCGGUGGUUCGAAUCCACUCAUCGGCACCA